CAUGCAAGUCCAGGGGGUUANAGGAAAGCUUGCUUCCUUGAGACCGGUGCACGGGUGCGUAACGCGUAUGGCAACCUACCUUUUACAGAGGGAUAGCCCAGAGAAAUUUGGGAUUAAUACCUCAUGGUAUAUAUCAUUCGCAUGUUUGAUAUAUUAAAGUUCCAACGGUAAAAGAUGGGCAUGCGUCCUAUUAGCUGGAUGGUAAGGUAACGGCUUACCAUGGCAACGAUAGGUAGGGGUCCUGAGAGGGAGAUCCCCCACACUGGUACUGAGACACGGACCAGACUCCUACGGGAGGCAGCAGUGAGGAAUAUUGGACAAUGGGCGCAAGCCUGAUCCAGCCAUGCCGCGUGCAGGAAGAAGCAUCUAUGGUGUGUAAACUGCUUUUGUACGGGAAGAAACACUCCUUCGUGAAGGAGCUUGACGGUACCGUAAGAGUAAGGAUCGGCUAACUCCGUG
Molecule: ribosomal RNA, 459 nt
Filed under: uncultured bacterium
Lineage: Bacteria
Description: bacterial SSU rRNA
Rfam family: Bacterial small subunit ribosomal RNA
Source: RNAcentral